This 468-nucleotide ribosomal RNA is filed under the name uncultured bacterium. RNAcentral's name for it is "partial 16S ribosomal RNA". It matches the Rfam family "Bacterial small subunit ribosomal RNA", at positions 28 to 507 of the family's 1533-position model. The record is from RNAcentral.
GACGAACGCUGGCGGCGUGCUUAACACAUGCAAGUCGAACGGAAAGGCCCUGCUUUUGUGGGGUGCUCGAGUGGCGAACGGGUGAGUAACACGUGAGUAACCUGCCCUUGACUUUGGGAUAACUUCAGGAAACUGGGGCUAAUACCGGAUAGGAGCUCCUGCUGCAUGGUGGGGGUUGGAAAGUUUCGGCGGUUGGGGAUGGACUCGCGGCUUAUCAGCUUGUUGGUGGGGUAGUGGCUUACCAAGGCUUUGACGGGUAGCCGGCCUGAGAGGGUGACCGGCCACAUUGGGACUGAGAUACGGCCCAGACUCCUACGGGAGGCAGCAGUGGGGAAUAUUGCACAAUGGGCGGAAGCCUGAUGCAGCAACGCCGCGUGCGGGAUGACGGCCUUCGGGUUGUAAACCGCCUUCGCCUGUGACGAAGCGUGAGUGACGGUAAUGGGUAAAUAAGCACCGGCUAACUACGUG